This 425-nucleotide long non-coding RNA is filed under the name Elaeis guineensis (African oil palm). RNAcentral describes it as "long non-coding RNA (EGUI_LNC079381)". The record is from RNAcentral. Lineage: Eukaryota; Viridiplantae; Streptophyta; Magnoliopsida; Arecales; Arecaceae.
UGGCGUCGACGUAGUUUGUAAUCCCUCGUCGGUUCUUGUUUUAAGUCGUUGUUCACCGAACUUCUUUUGUCUUCCAUCUUGUUCGUUGCCGACGUAGUUUGGAGGUUCCCGAUCAUCGUCGUGUCGAUUUACCCUUAGGGAUUAGAGAUUUUUGAUAAGGGUUUUCUCUCUCGUCGAGAUGAGGUCCCUUGUGCCUUUGAUGUAGUUCAUUUUUCACUUAUCACCGGUGUAGUUCGUCGUUUUUUCUUUUCAUCUCUCCUUUUCUUCUAUGUUUGAGUGAGGGUCUUCCCUCUGCUCUUGACGGGGUCGUGAGAGUGUGGAGGAGUCAUUGAGGAAGCUUUCCUUCUUGUCGAUCAACCGAGUCUUUGUUUGCAUCGGGACGAGGUCCUCCCCUUAUUCCCGACAGUCGGUUUCAGCUCGUGUCA